AUAUCGGUUUAACAUAUUUGAGAAUACAAGACUAUACACAAUGCCAUCCUGGUUCAGAUCAAUGGGCCGAUACAGCCCCGUAUCCUGUCUCUGCGGAAGACAACCUGAUGCUUGAAGGAGAAACGGGAUCGUCAUCCUCAUCCCCGGCAUUCUGGAGAUGGUCGAUUUUGGGUCCAGAAAAGAAAUGAGCAUGAAACACCCUUGCUUACACAUGUGUGCUGUUUCACUUGAACGGAACCGACGCUCCCAUCCAAGAAAGCGGCCGCCUCAGGGCCCAGUCACUGAGAGCCGGUCUAUUUCCGUGCUGACUUUGCACUCCACCAGCAACCUUUGAGGACGAGUAAUUAUUUUCCGCGAAUCAGGAUCUCCGGAUAAAUGAGAGCAAGCCUGAGCAUCAUUUCACGUUUCCAAGACGGCUGUCGAGCUGUUCGUUCGGAGUGGAAGUUUUCCAAAUUGGCUAUGCUAGAGUGCAUAGCAGCUUCCUGUGUCUGAUCAAACUUCCAAUCUCUUGGUCAACUGAGGUGUGUAAUGAUCUUCCUUCUGUGUCACGUCAACGGUACUUUGCCUUUAGGAGUCAAGGGCUGAAAUGCCAACCCUGAAAUCCCUCUCCCUUCAUCACCUGUGCUCUCCCAUCUGUACUUAUAAGCACUUGAUAUUCACCCCACGGCACUUAUUUACGUCUCAGUAAUUUAUUUUCAUGGCUGUCGCCCCUUUAGACUUCAAGCUCCUGAGGGCAGGGAAGUGUCUGUCAACUCUGCUGUACUGUACUCUCCCCA
This 776-nucleotide long non-coding RNA is filed under the name Ornithorhynchus anatinus (platypus). RNAcentral's name for it is "lncRNA (ENSOANG00000039174.1)". The record is from RNAcentral. Lineage: Eukaryota; Metazoa; Chordata; Mammalia; Monotremata; Ornithorhynchidae.